Molecule: long non-coding RNA, 1150 nt
Filed under: Aquila chrysaetos chrysaetos
Lineage: Eukaryota; Metazoa; Chordata; Aves; Accipitriformes; Accipitridae
Description: lncRNA (ENSACCG00020001310.1)
Source: RNAcentral
UUCUUUACCUUCUUGCUUGAGGUUAUCUACUCACAAACUUAAUGCUGGUAAUUUUUAUGAUUUUGUAAGACAGUAUAAGUAGUAUUCAAAUUAUUUGUGAUGAUCAAUGUCUUAAAAGUGCUAAGUAACAAGCAAAGAUGAAAAAAGGGAAACCGAAGGUACUGCUCAUGGGCAGUGCUGAAUAAUGCUGGUGAGACAGAAUGCAGUCACCUGUAGAUACAUAGUUUGAAAAAGAAAAAUUGAAAUAUUGCCUUUAGAAUUAUAUCAGACAAAAGGAUAAGAUAGGAAAACCAAAGUAAUCUGUCUAAAAUCCACAUGAAAGACUCAAAACAUCAUUUAAUUUUUGUCAACUCUAAUAUUGGCUGUACAUUAUUUGAUGGACUAUUAGUUUAAGUAAUAGAAAAAAGACCUUAAAAUUACAUAAAUAGUCAUAAAUAUGAUGUUUGCAGUCAAAUGUGCUAUCUAUACAGAAUCUUGAAUAGUCUUAAAAAAAAAAGGUAUAUUGAAAAUACAGGUAUGUAAAUUUGCUGACAGAGCUAAGAAAAUGAACUGAAUGUUAGCAAGGAUUCCAUUAGAGGGUUCCGAGUGAAAAGACAAAGGGACAGAAUUGAUGGGGAAAAAAACCCCAAACACUUGCUGACCAUCCAAAGAUAAGUUUCCAAUUUGAUUUAUCAUCUCCCACUGUUCAGAAACUGUAGUUUUCUUGAGAAUAGCUUGAUGCCUACAUUAUUUAAAAAUAAAUUGCCAUCUGUUUCUUACAGGUGACACUGUCAGGAUUUUCUUCAUGAGCAAGUGGUCUAGAAAACAACCUUUAAAAAAGAAAAAGCAAAAGCUGAAAUUCCCGCAAUCCUAGGACUUUAAAACUGAGAGCUGGCACUAAGUAUGAUAGGAGCAUCUGAAAUGUUUCUCUGAACAUCAAUCAAUCUAAAAGGUUUGCAGAGAACUGCAAACUGCCAGAAAAGCUGGUUCAGGAAGAAGUUAAAGUCAAUGACUACUCUGCAGUAAGAGUCUCCUCUUUUCAGUGUGAGGGCUUUGUGGAUGUGGCCAGCCGAUAGCAGCACAGUGCUGAGAAAAGAUGAAUAGCCUUGCUUUUGUCCUCUUGCUCUUUUCAGCUCAGUUCUUUUCAUUUUCUUCAGCAUCUGAGAGUUAU